UACACUUUAAUCAGCAUAACAAAAUUUGAUAACGUCACUUUUGUUUUUGUUUGUUGUUUUUUGUGUUGCUCAAUUGGACAAAUAAAAUUUUGGGGACCCGACGAAUUGCUAUAUAAAGUAGAACAGAUUCCGAGCGGACUCAUAAUUACAUCGUUCUUGGCGACAAUGGAUUUUAAGUGCUGCCUGAUUUUCCUAUCGCUUCUACUCUCGGGCGUUUUGGCGAUCCCAGAGAGAAGUAAACCCGAGGAAAGGUCCUGCAGCCCAUGGUGCGCCGGUCAGCCUCCACCGCCGCCGGGAGCUGUAAACUAAUUAGACGUACUAAUCAUGGAUUGAACGUCAUACAAAAAUCACUUAAAAAAUUUAUUACGAAAGGAAAUUCGUUCAUAUUGUGUUUUUAAUCGAAAAUUGAUUAUAUUCAAAAAAUACCAUAGUUUGCCUUUUUUGAGCUAAAUUCAAAACUAAAUGUUGGCAUAUGACUUAAUAAAGUAUAUUACCUUAUUUCUUGUCAACUUCGUGUAAAACUGUUAAAUUUUUAUAUUGUCAUUUUAAAUAUUAACCUUUUUUCCUUAAAAAUAUUAAAAACAUCAUAUCAAUCAACUUUCUUAGAAACCGCCUACUAAAAUUUUCUUAAAAAACGUUAUUUCAAAUAAUAUAUAAUUGAUGUAAUUUAACGAAAUUCUUUGAAUUGAAUUGAUAGUUUCCCGUUUGUUUUAUUAAAGCCGUCUAAAAUCCAACUCUUUUCAUUAGUUACCCUUUAUGCAAAACAAAAAAAUAUUUAAAUGCAAUCAGUUGAGUCGCCCAGGAAAGUCAUUAUGGGUAAUAUCGCUAUUUUGGAUAGGGCUAACAGUUGUAAAUAUGUUUUUAUGGAGUUGGUCCCCAUUUUCAGUCGAUCCACCGUUCGGGAAUCCAUCGCUUGAGAUGCACUGCUGUAUGCCAUUGACAAAUGAGCAGCGUUGAUAAGUGCAGGUUCUUAUUCCGUUCCUAAUAAAGCAAUGAGUCCGGGAUGAAUGACCGCCAAACGGGGGAA
Molecule: long non-coding RNA, 1027 nt
Organism: Drosophila ficusphila
Lineage: Eukaryota; Metazoa; Arthropoda; Insecta; Diptera; Drosophilidae
Exons: 2
Source: RefSeq, a predicted model, not a curated record